Long non-coding RNA from Peromyscus maniculatus bairdii (prairie deer mouse), 1684 nucleotides. RefSeq lists it as uncharacterized. Lineage: Eukaryota; Metazoa; Chordata; Mammalia; Rodentia; Cricetidae. The record is from RefSeq and is a predicted model, not a curated record.
GUGUUUUCGUUUUGGCAGGUGCUGCAGUCUACGUGCCGAGUUUUACAGUCUGAGUGGUACUUCCACCAUGGAGCCAGUUGGGCUAAGAUCUCAGGGCCAGCUGAGGUCUAGGGCCCUGUUACAAUGGGUCCACAGUAGCAAUAGAAUAAAGUAUUAACUUCGUUCUCAUUUUAGAUUGCUGUCAUUUACAGGGACUGGACUGACCGUGGGAACACUGUUAGAGCAUCGUGCUUUGAAAUCUUGUGUCUGCAGCAAGGCAGAAACACGAGAGAUGACGUGGAGAAAGCGAGCUGUUUUUCCCAUGGCAGCUAGCGAGCAGAGAAGUCACGGGGAGGAGCCGAGCCAGAGUCAAGAUACACUCUUCAAAGGCAUGUCCCCGCCAUCCACUUCCUCCAACCGUAGCCCUACCAGCUCUACAAAGUAUAUUCAACUCUUCAAUUCAUCAGUCAAUUACACCAUGUAUCAGGUCAGAGACCCCAGGAGCGAAUCAUCCUUGGAAAGGCCAUCACAGACAUACCCCAAGGUUGUAUUUUACUGAUCCCUAGGGGUCUUUUAUUUCAAGCAAGAUCGCAGUCGUGAUGAAUCAUCACACACGUUAUCAGAGAAAUGAAAAGAAAUGUAACAGACACUCGAGGGCCUCUUCUCUUGAAGAUUCAGGUGUGUGCAGGACAUUUUCACUAACUGGACCCCUACUUCCUGCUUACUACACCCACGGUUUAUCAGAGAUUCUAAUACAUCUGACCUACUGUCCCCCAAAGCAUUCAGUGUGAUGAUUUCUUGAAGACACAUCUCAUGGGUAGACAGAGUCAGGAUAAUCUGUUGAAUGAUUGAAUCAGCAUUGAAUAUCUGAACUUAUUCAUGACUAAUAAUAGAGAUUUGGAGGGGGGGAAAGGCAAAAAGACAUACAAUAGCUCACAGAGUUGUCCACUGGGGAUUUUCUGAGACAAGGAGGUUCAGUAGGUCAUAGAACAAGAGACUAGAAGAGACAUGUGUCGCCCCUUCCCACAGACGGCUUUGUUUUAUGGGAACUUGAGGAUGGCUGUGCAUCAGUGGCUAUGGGUAGAGAAGGACCGAGGGUCUGCAUGGCAGGAUGGAGGGCUUGAAGAGGUAGCACUACUCAUCAGAAUAGAAAGCAACUCAGAGAAGCCUCAGUAGCAUGCACUGGGUAUGAAAGGGUCACAAACGAAGCCCAGAGAUUGGCUCCUAUCCUGGAACUCAGUCAUGAGCUCACUUGGGUUCUACAGUUGUGCUAUUAGUAUCCAGAAAUAACUGAAGGCCCCUGGACGUUUUUAGCUGGAUGGAGAAGCUUGACUCUUAGUACAUCUCCGGAAAGAGAGUCAGUAACGGCGGAGGGGAGGCAUGGCGGCAGACAGCUGGAGCAAGAAGCUGAGAGACCACAUGGGGUCCACUGCCAACACAAAGCAGGGAGCCUCACUGUGGAAAUGAACCACUCUCUGCGUGCCGAGCAGUGGAUGGCCAACCGGAAAUGAACUCAAUGUCGUCUUCGGACGUGCUUUGUCUCAUAACGUUACACCGGGGAGUCCUGUUUUGUUGUGUUCCUCUACCUUGCACAUCUUUGUGUAUAUAAUGUGGUUUUCAGGUUUGGGCAUUUGUGGGAUUCCUGUGUGGGUGACUCUGUGUGUCUCUGCACUGCUAGGCAUUUUUUUGAGCUUUUCCUUUGGAU